Molecule: ribosomal RNA, 468 nt
Filed under: uncultured bacterium
Lineage: Bacteria
Description: partial 16S ribosomal RNA
Rfam family: Bacterial small subunit ribosomal RNA
Source: RNAcentral
GACGAACGCUGGCGGCGUGCUUAACACAUGCAAGUCGAACGGAAAGGCCCUGCUUUUGUGGGGUGCUCGAGUGGCGAACGGGUGAGUAACACGUGAGUAACCUGCCCUUGACUUUGGGAUAACUUCAGGAAACUGGGGCUAAUACCGGAUAGGAGCUCCUGCUGCAUGGUGGGGGUUGGAAAGUUUCGGCGGUUGGGGAUGGACUCGCGGCUUAUCAGCUUGUUGGUGGGGUAGUGGCUUACCAAGGCUUUGACGGGUAGCCGGCCUGAGAGGGUGACCGGCCACAUGGGGACUGAGAUACGGCCCAGACUGCUACGGGAGGCAGCAGUGGGGAAUAUUGCACAGUGGGCGGAAGCCUGAUGCAGCAACGCCGCGUGCGGGAUGACGGCCUUCGGGUUGUAAACCGCUUUCGCCUGUGACGAAGCGUGAGUGACGGUAAUGGGUAAAGAAGCACCGGCUAACUACGUG